UACGGAGGGGGCUAGCGUUGUUCGGAAUUACUGGGCGUAAAGCGUACGUAGGCGGCUUUGUAAGUUAGAGGUGAAAGCCCGGGGCUCAACCCCGGAAUUGCCUUUAAGACUGCAUCGCUUGAAUCAUGGAGAGGUUAGUGGAAUUCCGAGUGUAGAGGUGAAAUUCGUAGAUAUUCGGAAGAACACCAGUGGCGAAGGCGACUAACUGGACAUGUAUUGACGCUGAGGUACGAAAGCUGGGGGAGCAAACGGG
Molecule: ribosomal RNA, 253 nt
Filed under: uncultured bacterium
Lineage: Bacteria
Description: partial 16S ribosomal RNA
Rfam family: Bacterial small subunit ribosomal RNA
Source: RNAcentral